GCGAAGGCGGCCCAGUCUUGCUCCAGGUCAUCUGCCCUGGUUGCUGGAGUGUUUCUUUCCUUGCAAGUUGGAAUACAGAAAUGCUGCCUGGAGCAGGAGCUGCCAUGCAAGAUUACGAGGAACCAGAGGCAGAUUCAUCACAGAGCUAACAAACCUUAUGCCUUAAGGCAGCAAGACUACUGGCGAUACCCUGGAAAGGGAUUUAUCUGGUUCUCCAUGAUCAUUUAUUUUUGUAAAACUUGUCAAAGCAAAAUAAAC
Molecule: long non-coding RNA, 258 nt
Organism: Tupaia belangeri chinensis (Chinese tree shrew)
Lineage: Eukaryota; Metazoa; Chordata; Mammalia; Scandentia; Tupaiidae
Exons: 3
Source: RefSeq, a predicted model, not a curated record